UGUCACGAAAUGCGCCGCCGCGUCACCCUUCGGAUAGUGACUUGAACGCACGAACAGAACGGAGCUAUUUGGAUAUAACUAUGGAUUAUUUCGAACCAAAACAACAUUUGUUGUUGAAGUAGAAGUACUGGGAGUGCAUUCUGACGAAGAACAGCAAAGGUGAGAGCUUGCGGGACAAGAAGGCACAGGGAUGGAGCUUCUGGUCCAAGGGAGAACGUUGAGACAGGACUGCACCUCUCCUGUGUCGGAAGCGUCCACCUCGAGGACGAACUGGAGUUCUGGGUCUGGCUGGGUAAGGAUUGGAGCAGAAGUGAAGCGGUGCUUGAGUUCCUGCCUCUGCUUCAGGGGACCAGUGGAAUGGAGUGGAGGUGGAGAGAGGGAGAGGGAGAGAGAGAGAGAGUGUACAGGGGGAGUAACUGCAGAUCAGGAAGACACCGGAUGAACACCAGAGGGCGUAGCAGGAGCAGAUGUGACAGCCUCCAAAACAGAGGCAACCACAUAGUUAAUGUCGACAGUCAGGAUGUGGAAUACACUGAUGUCAGGAUACUGAAGAAGCAGAUGAGACAGAAGGAAAGAAAGGUGGAUUACGGACAGGUGAAGUGGAGG
This 606-nucleotide long non-coding RNA is filed under the name Salmo salar (Atlantic salmon). Its description in RNAcentral is "lncRNA (ENSSSAG00000104896.1)". The record is from RNAcentral. Lineage: Eukaryota; Metazoa; Chordata; Actinopteri; Salmoniformes; Salmonidae.